RNAcentral lists this unclassified non-coding RNA (308 nucleotides) under plant metagenome. RNAcentral's name for it is "partial contains 5.8S ribosomal RNA, internal transcribed spacer 2, and large subunit ribosomal RNA". The stretch from base 1 to 104 matches the Rfam family "5.8S ribosomal RNA", at positions 51 to 154 of the family's 154-position model. The record is from RNAcentral.
AAAUGCGCUAAGUAGUGUGCAUUGCAGAAUUCAGUGAAUCAUCGAAUCUUUGAACGCACAUUGCGCCCCUUGGUAUUCCAUGGGGCAUGCCUGUUCGAGCGUCAUUUGUACCCUCAAGCUCUGCUUGGUGUUGGGUGUUUGUCCCGUCUCCGCGCGUGGACUCGCCCCAAAGUGAUUGGCAGCCGGCGUACUGGUCCCGGAGCGCAGCACAUGUCGCGCAAACGAGUGCCUUGGUACGGCGGCGUCCAUAAGCCCCUCUCUCACGCUCUUGACCUCGGAUCAGGUAGGGAUACCCGCUGAACUUAAGC